Long non-coding RNA from Bubalus bubalis (water buffalo), 1947 nucleotides. RefSeq lists it as uncharacterized. NCBI's taxonomy places the organism in Eukaryota, Metazoa, Chordata, Mammalia, Artiodactyla, Bovidae. The transcript is spliced from 2 exons. The record is from RefSeq and is a predicted model, not a curated record.
GGAAAUGGCAACCCACUCCAGUGUUCUUGCCUGGAGAAUCCCAGGGACAGGGGAGCCUGGUGGCCUGCCGUCCAUGGGGUCGCAUAGAGUCGGACAUGACUGAAGCGACUUAGCAUGCUAUCUACAUGAUAACAGAAGCUGAGUGUUAGCAACAAUGAUAUAAAUCGCCACACCUUUUGAGCAAUUCUCUGUAAUAACAUUGCAGAAUAUCACUGUGUUAUUUAAUUGAAACCUCACAACAAUCCUGUGAAGUUGGUGUUGUCUUUGUUCUAACCCUGUGAAAACUGAGGCUCAGAGGAGUUAAGAAACCUGUCAUAAGUUACUUAUAGAGUGACAGAUCAGGGAUUUAAGUUUUGUUCUGACUUUGACUCUAAAGCUCUUUCUGCUGGAUCAUACCACCCCAUAGAUGGGUUUAUUUGGGGGUUGAUUAGAGAAUUUAAAAGUCAGUUUAGAGUGAUGAUAGGGAGGAGACCCCUUGGCAUGAGAGGAAAAAUCUUAAGUGUGCUCCUUUCCAAGUCGCCAUGUUCUCAGAUUGCUGGCCUGUUUUAUUCCUUUCAUGACCUCCAUUUAUCCCUGUGAAUAAUUCAUGUAAUAUCACCAAUGUGUUUUGUCUCUAGCUUGUUAUCCAGGAAGAUAUACAGAAGCUGCCAUUUGCUUUCACCUUGCUGGCUGCUGACCCUAAAGAAGUAGCACAGACACCAUGGAUACUCACCUUAAGAUAGUGCUUCCGAGUUAAGUUAUCAGAAAACUAUUGUGUUGGAUGAAGCAAGAAGGUGCAAGCUGUAAUACUGUCAUGAAGGCCAAAGGUUGAGGAAGAAGUUGCCAUUUCUCCUUCCUGUUUACCACUCAAGGAUCUAUCUCCUGAAUCCUUUUUAGAGUUAUUGGUAUCUUGGCUUUAUACAUAUACCCUGGUAUUUGAAUACAUAUACUGGUGCUCACAGCAUUGGCUUAAAGUUAGUGGUUCUACUACUCUCCAGCUGUAUGACUUGGGCAUUCAGUUCUUUCUGAGUCUCAACUUCCUCAUCUUUAUGAUGGGAAUAGUCAUGUCUGUCUGCUUGCCUGGUCAAAUAAAAUCUCUGCUUCAUAUAUUUGAUACCUUAGGGUCCCCUGCAUGAGUAGGAAGCUUGCAUGUUACUUAACACAGCUUUUGCUGCUGAAGAUGACCAUUCCUUCAUCAGCCUCCUGGACAGAUGAUCCUCUAGUGUCAGACUGAGCUCUGAAGGGUUGGGAAGCUGCCCUCCUCAGGAGCUCAGAUAGUAAGUUGUUCUUUGUGCUGAUCUGAAAUCUGAACUCUCCAGUAACUUUUGCCUGCUGGUUUCUGUGUCAUCUCUGGAUAACAGGACAUUUAACCUCAAAAUCUUCUGUAUACUGAAGACUACUGUGAAAAGUACCAUUAUUUUUUAAGCUGGAUAUCAAGUCAUCUUUUCAGCUCCUUUGCCUGCUCUGCCCUUGGGGUUCUGAUCUGGAUUGACUUCAUGGAACAGAACAUGGUGCCAGGUGUUCCUGAACAUUCUCAAUGGUCUUUGUAGCAUUGGUAAUAAAACAUUGCCUGAUGACCCUAGAAGCAAGUUUGAUUAUUACUAAUGGUAACUGUCCCUACCCGUAGUGAGUCUGCUCAAAUCCUAGAGCCAUGAUUGGCAAACCAUAUUUCUUAACAUGCUUUAAAUUAUUUUUAACAUGAAAGUAAUUUCCCCCUCUGUUGCAUUGCCAUUUCCUUCUCCAAGGGAUCUUCCCUACCCAGGGAUCAAACCCAGGUCUCCUUUAUUGCAUGUGGAUUCUUUACUGCUGAGCUACCAGGGAAACCACACUUUAUUCUAAAAAAUAAUAAAGAUGCAUUAAAUUUAAUAAUAGAAAAGACCUAGAAAAAAAUCUAAAGAAUACUAUGGAACUUAUUUGUAGCCCAUUUACUUUUAAAAAAAAUAAAAUAUUUUUAUACCUUACACCUUA